AUUGAACGCUGGCGGCAGGCCUAACACAUGCAAGUCGAACGAGUGGCGGACGGGUGAGUAAUGUCUGGGAAACUGCCCGAUGGAGGGGGAUAACUACUGGAAACGGUAGCUAAUACCGCAUACCAUCGGAUGUGCCCCGAUGGGAUUAGCUAGUAGGUGGGGUAACGGCUCACCUAGGCGACGAUCCCUAGCUGGUCUGAGAGGAUGACCCGCCCCACUGGAACCUGGACACGGGCCCGACCCCUACGGGAGGGAACAGGGGGGAAUAUUGCCCAAUGGGGGCAAGCCCGAACCAGCCAUGCCGCGUGUAAGAAGAAGGCCUUCGGGUUGGAAAGGUCUUUCAGCGAGGGGGCGUUACUCGCAGAAGAAGCAACGGCUAACUCCGUGCCAGCAGCCGCGGUAAUAC
Molecule: ribosomal RNA, 406 nt
Filed under: uncultured bacterium
Lineage: Bacteria
Description: partial 16S ribosomal RNA
Rfam family: Bacterial small subunit ribosomal RNA
Source: RNAcentral